Molecule: ribosomal RNA, 445 nt
Filed under: uncultured bacterium
Lineage: Bacteria
Description: partial 16S ribosomal RNA
Rfam family: Bacterial small subunit ribosomal RNA
Source: RNAcentral
GUGAGGAAUAUUGGUCAAUGGGCGGGAGCCUGAACCAGCCAAGUCGCGUGAAGGAAGAAGGAUCUAUGGUUCGUAAACUUCUUUUGCAGGGGAAUAAAGUGCAGGACGUGUCCUGUUUUGUAUGUACCCUGAGAAUAAGGAUCGACUAACUCCGUGCCAGCAGCCGCGGUAAUACGGAGGAUCCGAGCGUUAUCCGGAUUUAUUGGGUUUAAAGGGUGCGUAGGUGGUUUGAUAAGUCAGCGGUGAAAGUUUGCAGCUUAACUGUAAAAAUGCCGUUGAAACUGUCGGACUUGAGUGUAAAUGAGGUAGGCGGAAUGCGUGGUGUAGCGGUGAAAUGCAUAGAUAUCACGCAGAACUCCGAUUGCGAAGGCAGCUUACUAAGCUACAACUGACACUGAAGCACGAAAGCGUGGGGAUCAAACAGGAUUAGAAACCCUUGUAGUCC